RNAcentral lists this ribosomal RNA (253 nucleotides) under uncultured bacterium. RNAcentral describes it as "partial 16S ribosomal RNA". It matches the Rfam family "Bacterial small subunit ribosomal RNA", at positions 524 to 776 of the family's 1533-position model. The record is from RNAcentral.
UACGUAGGGUGCAAGCGUUGUCCGGAAUUAUUGGGCGUAAAGAGCUCGUAGGCGGUCUGUCGCGUCUGCUGUGAAAACCUAGGGCUUAACCCUGGGCCUGCAGUGGGUACGGGCAGACUAGAGUGCGGUAGGGGAGACUGGAAUUCCUGGUGUAGCGGUGAAAUGCGCAGAUAUCAGGAGGAACACCGGUGGCGAAGGCGGGCCUCUGGGCCGUAACUGACGCUGAGACGCGAAAGCGUGGGGAGCAAACAGG